Molecule: ribosomal RNA, 354 nt
Filed under: uncultured Nitrospinaceae bacterium
Lineage: Bacteria; Pseudomonadati; Nitrospinota; Nitrospinia; Nitrospinales; Nitrospinaceae
Description: bacterial SSU rRNA
Rfam family: Bacterial small subunit ribosomal RNA
Source: RNAcentral
UACGGAGGGGGCAAGCGUUGUUCGGAAUUAUUGGGCGUAAAGCGUAUGUAGGCGGCUAAGCAAGUCAGGCGUGCAAGCCCGUGGCUCAACCACGGAAUUGCGUUUGAAACUGUUUAGCUUGAGUACAGGAGAGGAAAGCGGAAUUCCCAGUGUAGCGGUGAAAUGCAUUGAUAUUGGGAAGAACAUCUGUGGCGAAGGCGGCUUUCUGGUCUGUUACUGACGCUGAGAUACGAAAGCCAGGGGAGCGAACGGGAUUAGAUACCCCGGUAGUCCUGGCUGUAAACGAUGGGCACUAGGUGCAGGAGGUAUCGAUCCCCUCUGUGCCGUAGCUAACGCGUUAAGUGCCCCGCCUGG